UGUCAACAUGAAUUUGGGGGGACACA
RNAcentral lists this non-coding RNA (26 nucleotides) under Homo sapiens (human). The record is from RNAcentral. Lineage: Eukaryota; Metazoa; Chordata; Mammalia; Primates; Hominidae.